This 253-nucleotide ribosomal RNA is filed under the name uncultured bacterium. RNAcentral's name for it is "partial 16S ribosomal RNA". It matches the Rfam family "Bacterial small subunit ribosomal RNA", at positions 524 to 776 of the family's 1533-position model. The record is from RNAcentral.
UACGUAGGGCGCGAGCGUUGUCCGGAUUUAUUGGGCGUAAAGAGCUCGUAGGCGGCUUGUCGCGUCGACCGUGAAAACUUGGGGCUCAACCCCAAGCCUGCGGUCGAUACGGGCAGGCUCGAGUUCGGUAGGGGAGACUGGAAUUCCUGGUGUAGCGGUGAAAUGCGCAGAUAUCAGGAGGAACACCGAUGGCGAAGGCAGGUCUCUGGGCCGAUACUGACGCUGAGGAGCGAAAGCGUGGGGAGCGAACAGG